AUUUGAACGCUGGCGGCAGGCUUAACACAUGCAAGUCGAACGGUAGCAGGAGAAAGCUUGCUUUCUUGCUGACGAGUGGCGGACGGGUGAGUAAUGCUUGGGAAUCUGGCUUAUGGAGGGGGAUAACGACGGGAAACUGUUGCUAAUACCGCGUAUUAUCGGAAGAUGAAAGUGCGGGACUGAGAGGCCGCAUGCCAUAGGAUGAGUCCAAGUGGGAUUAGGUAGUUGGUGGGGUAAAGGCCUACCAAGCCUGCGAUCUCUAGCUGGUCUGAGAGGAUGACCAGCCACACUGGAACUGAGACACGGUCCAGACUCCUACGGGAGGCAGCAGUGGGGAAUAUUGCGCAAUGGGGGGAACCCUGACGCAGCCAUGCCGCGUGAAUGAAGAAGGCCUUAGGGUUGUAAAGUUCUUUCGGUAUUGAGGAAGGUUGAUGUGUUAAUAGCACAUCAAAUUGACGUUAAAUACAGAAGAAGCACCGGCUAACUCCGUGCCAGCAGCCGCGGUAAUACGGAGGGUGCGAGCGUUAAUCGGAAUAACUGGGCGUAAAGGGCACGCAGGCGGUUAUUUAAGUGAGGUGUGAAAGCCCCGGGCUUAACCUGGGAAUUGCAUUUCAGACUGGGUAACUAGAGUACUUUAGGGAGGGGUAGAAUUCCACGUGUAGCGGUGAAAUGCGUAGAGAUGUGGAGGAAUACCGAAGGCGAAGGCAGCCCCUUGGGAAUGUACUGACGCUCAUGUGCGAAAGCGUGGGGAGCAAACAGG
This 760-nucleotide ribosomal RNA is filed under the name Haemophilus influenzae. RNAcentral describes it as "bacterial SSU rRNA". It matches the Rfam family "Bacterial small subunit ribosomal RNA", at positions 28 to 776 of the family's 1533-position model. Lineage: Bacteria; Pseudomonadati; Pseudomonadota; Gammaproteobacteria; Pasteurellales; Pasteurellaceae. The record is from RNAcentral.